CCUGCCCCUAGAGGCACUGCGGGUGCGGCUGCUGUGUCACAUGUGCAUCAGCAGGUGACAGAGAGGACAGAGGCUACGUCUAUGCUCAGUGUUCUGACUUGCGAACAUCUGAAUGAUUAGUAGCCUAACAUU
Molecule: small nucleolar RNA, 132 nt
Organism: Acomys russatus (golden spiny mouse)
Lineage: Eukaryota; Metazoa; Chordata; Mammalia; Rodentia; Muridae
Product: small nucleolar RNA SNORA17
Exons: 1
Source: RefSeq, a predicted model, not a curated record